CUAACUCAGUUGGUUAGAGUGUCAGACUGUUAAUCUGGAAGUCGUGUGUUCGAUUCUUCAUCGA
This is a non-coding RNA of Tritrichomonas musculus, 64 nucleotides long. Lineage: Eukaryota; Parabasalia; Tritrichomonadida; Tritrichomonadidae. The record is from the annotation of a GenBank genome assembly.